This 253-nucleotide ribosomal RNA is filed under the name uncultured bacterium. Its description in RNAcentral is "partial 16S ribosomal RNA". It matches the Rfam family "Bacterial small subunit ribosomal RNA", at positions 524 to 776 of the family's 1533-position model. The record is from RNAcentral.
UACGGGGGGGGCAAGCGUUGUUCGGAAUUACUGGGCGUAAAGGGCUCGUAGGCGGCCAACUAAGUCGGAUGUGAAAUCCCCAGGCUUAACCUGGGAACUGCAUCCGAUACUGGAUGGCUUGAAUCCGGGAGAGGGAUGCAGAAUUCCAGGUGUAGCGGUGAAAUGCGUAGAUAUCUGGAGGAACACCAAUGGCGAAGGCAGCUCGCUGGGACGGUACUGACGCUGAGACGCGAAAGCGUGGGGAGCAAACAGG